UAUUGGUGAUGGAAAAGAAGUUAUUGUGGAGCAAUGUUCAAGGAGUGAUCUACAGUCCCAAUGCAUCAAGUAUCUUGGACCAAAAGAGAGGGAAGCAUAUGAAGUAAUUGUGAAGAAUGGAAAGCUUAUUUACAAGAAAAAUGGUGUUUGUGUGGACACAAUUGAGGGUACCAAAUGGAUAUUUGUGCUCAGUACCUCAAGGACCUUAUAUGUUGGUCAGAAGCAAAGACAUCAUUUUCACCAUUCCAGUUUUCUAGCUGGAGGUGCUUCUCUUUCAUCUGGAAGAUUGGUCGUCUCUAAUGGGGACCUCGAGGCAAUAUGGGCAUACAGUGGUCAUUAUAGACCAACAGAAGAACAGUUUGAGGAGAUAAUAAGCUUUCUUCAGGACCACCAUGUUGACCUCACCAGUGUUAAGAAAUUCGCGAUAGAUGAUGACAUAGCACCCAACAAGUCAAAAAUAUGAAAAGAUGAUUGCACCAAAUAAAAGAGAAAA
Solanum tuberosum (potato) is the source of this 493-nucleotide long non-coding RNA. RefSeq lists it as uncharacterized. Lineage: Eukaryota; Viridiplantae; Streptophyta; Magnoliopsida; Solanales; Solanaceae. The record is from RefSeq and is a predicted model, not a curated record. The transcript has 4 exons.